Molecule: ribosomal RNA, 690 nt
Filed under: Clostridioides difficile
Lineage: Bacteria; Bacillati; Bacillota; Clostridia; Peptostreptococcales; Peptostreptococcaceae
Description: partial 23S ribosomal RNA
Rfam family: Bacterial large subunit ribosomal RNA
Source: RNAcentral
GCCCGGAGAUAGCUGGUUCUCCCCGAAAUAGCUUUAGGGCUAGCCUCAAGGUGAGAGAUACGGAGGUAGAGCACUGAAUGUCCUAGGGGGUAUUGCACCUACCGAAGACUAUCAAACUCCGAAUGCCGUCAUCUUAUACUUGGGAGUCAGACUGUGGGUGAUAAGAUUCAUAGUCGAAAGGGCAACAGCCCAGAUCGUCAGCUAAGGUCCCUAAAUGUAAGUUAAGUGGUAAAGGAUGUGGGAUUGCACAGACAACCAGGAUGUUGGCUUAGAAGCAGCCACUCAUUCAAAGAGUGCGUAAUAGCUCACUGGUCGAGUGAUCCUGCGCCGAAGAUUUCCGGGGCUAAAACUUACUACCGAAGCUACGGCAUCAGUAAUGAUGGGUAGGGGAGCUUCCCAUACAGGUUGAAGCAUGACCGUAAGGACAUGUGGACAGUAUGGGAGUGAGAAUGUUGGCAUGAGUAGCGAGAUGUGGGUGAGAAUCCCACAGGCCGUAAACCCAAGGUUUCCAGGGGAAGGUUCGUCCGCCCUGGGUUAGUCGGGACCUAAGCUGAGGCCGAAAGGCGUAGGUGAUGGACAACAGGUUGAUAUUCCUGUACUACCGAUAACCGUUUGAGAGAAGGGAUGACACAGUAGGAUAAGUUAAGCACACUGUUGGUUAUGUGUGCCCAAGCAUUGAGGCAGUCAAAG